GCGGGGGUGCCACGGUCAUUUCCAGGCUGCCGCUUCAUUACUCCGAUGCAUCACGGCUGAAGGAGGAAACGCUAAUGCGAGAAAAUGCGGGCAAACCAGAAGAAUAGGAAGAAUGAAAAGAUCUCAAAAUUGAGAAUUUCUUCCUGGAGAAGGCUAAAAUACAACCAGAAGCAGAGAGCAAUGUCAGGGAAAGGUGGACUGUCAGCAGUCAUCAUUGUCAUUGAGUUCUACAAAUGAAGGUCCCAAUUGUCAUGGUCCGCAGUGGUUGGCUGAAAUUUCCAUUAGGCUCCUGAGCCUACCUGGGAUCCGCCCCUGGGGAGGACCACCUCCUCCAGUUCCUGCGCACCUGGAGCCGAUUGCAGGCAAUCAAGCCAAAGUGAUUUAAGCCUCACCCUGAUGUUCAUUCACUGCCAGUUUGUUUCAUUGCUUUUGUCCUUGCCACAGUUCCAAGCCUAAGCCUAACUAAUAAAAUAUUG
Molecule: non-coding RNA, 476 nt
Organism: Maylandia zebra (zebra mbuna)
Lineage: Eukaryota; Metazoa; Chordata; Actinopteri; Cichliformes; Cichlidae
Source: RefSeq, a predicted model, not a curated record